This is a small nucleolar RNA of Lactuca sativa (garden lettuce), 107 nucleotides long. The record is from RefSeq and is a predicted model, not a curated record. Lineage: Eukaryota; Viridiplantae; Streptophyta; Magnoliopsida; Asterales; Asteraceae.
UGAUCAUUUUGGGGACAGUUCCUUAUUAACCCCUUAUAUCGCUCCCAUGCCUCAUACAAAGAUUCUACCACUUAUUGCUCAAAAUUGGCUAUGGCUUUCUUAAGCUU